AAUAUAUGGGAUUUUGAGUUUUUAUUUGCACUCUUUGAUCACUCGUCUUAUUCAAAAAAUUUUGGAAUUAUUUUUUUUAUGACUUGCUUUAUUAUCCAAAGUACUUUAAGCACAACUUUUCGUAUUUUAUAUUUGCACAAAUUUUUUGAAUAAGACGAGUGGUCAAACAGUGUAAACAAAAACUCAAAAUCCCUUAUA
Molecule: microRNA precursor, 198 nt
Organism: Oryza sativa Japonica Group (Japanese rice)
Lineage: Eukaryota; Viridiplantae; Streptophyta; Magnoliopsida; Poales; Poaceae
Rfam family: MIR812 microRNA precursor family
Source: Rfam